UUAGCUGCCUCGUAAGCAAUUAAGAGAAUGAGUUUUCGGUAAACAUAUAUCGUGAUUCAAAAUUUCACCAACAUUGAAAAGAAAAAUAUCAUCGGAUCGAGAGUUAAUUGGUGUAAGUUUUUUAUUUUCCACCCUCAACUGCUUUGGAGUCGAGAAAAGACAAAUGUGGCCCACCUUCCAUCAAAACCCAUGAUCAAAAAUUUGCUGAACUCUAGUUCAUUCUACUUGAAGAAUACUGGAGAUCCCACUUUUCUGCAAACGUCGGCAGUACAUGCAUACACUGAAAUCUUUGGUAAGUUGUCAUGUCAUGGAGAUCAUGCUCUUUGCUGGAACUUGUUUCUCCCUUUUCUCUGUUUGUGAUGAAGACAAGCACAAACUUGGUGACCUUGAGGACAUGUUUAAUCCAGAUUGGAAUAUAUAUAUAUAUGUGUGCGUGUGUGUGUCAAUACUGCUGGUAUUCACUGGAAGUUAGGCUUUUUCUUUCUGCCCCAAAACACUUUAUUAGUACUUGGUAACUUACCCAUUAAUUGCAUUCAAAUCAUUUGCCAUGUUAGCUUAAUUGUUAAUGAGAUAGAUUACAAAGGAUAAUAUAUAAGAUGCUAAAUUGUGUGAAGAUGAAAUGAAACAACACAUCUAAUUAUGGAGAUCCAUAAAUCAUUCUGUGCCUAAAUAAAAAAACCCUUUUGCAGGUUCAGACCUCUAGAAUGAUAGAAUCUAUCCCAUCACAACUUGCCCAAAAUGGGGUUCGCAAAAGACCAGAGGGAGUUGUCCUGUCUCAUCUCCCUUCCACCUUUAAUUAGUGUAUCACACAUGUAAAAUCCUUGAGAAGCUCUAACAAAUGCUAGGUUUUUUGUUUUUUUGGUGGGUCAAAUAGGCAGGUAAAAGUUUCCAAGUUCAAACCCAAUUGCAAAGAAAGCUAACUACGGAAAAUAGCUAACAUAUCUUUCCAGAAUGUCUGGUUGGUGGCAUUAGCAUCGGGGGAGAACCUAUCUUAUAUUUCUGAUAGGCCUAGAAUUUUUUUUGGAAAGACUUGGGAUGAUCUAGACCUAGAACUCAUAGAUACAGUAUGUAUGUAUGUAUGUGUGUGGGUUGGGUUGGUUUUUGGGGGAUGGUAAAGUUAAAAUGAAAGUAUUAUAGCUAUGGGAUAAGAGACACAGAGUGAGAGAGGAAUGACGCAACAGUAAAAAUAAUAAGAUUCUAAUAUUUGUUUACCGACCUCCCCAAUGAACAGUCUUGGCUGUUUCUCUCCACUCCCUCUCACCUUCCUUUUAAACUCUGUCCUCCUUGCUAACUCUUCCUCAAUAACCAACUCUCUCUCUCUCUCUCUCUCUCUCUCUCUCUCUCUCUCUCUCUCUCUCUCUCUCUCUCUCUCUACUACAAGUACCAACCCAACAACCAACAAAUAGUGCGCUUCCCCGUUCCAAAACUAAGAAGGCUGCAUUAUAUGCUAAGCAUGCCAAUGCCGCCUCCUCAACAUCUCCCACCAACAAAUGAAGCAAAGAAUGAAAAUGAAGAAAACCCUUUGGUUUUUGAUGCUUCAGUUGCUCAGUACCAAUCCAGCAUACCCUCCAAAUUCAUAUGGCCCGACCACGAGAAGCCAUGCCCUGAGCCGCCAGAGCUUCCAGUUCCUCACAUUGACAUGAAAGGCUUUCUCACAGGGGACACUAGGGAGGUCUCAAACGCGACUUGUUUAGUCGAUGAGGCAUGCAGGAAGCAUGGAUUUUUCCUCGUUGUUAAUCAUGGAGUUGAUUCGCAGCUCAUAGCAAAAGCUCAUGAAUACAUGGACUUGUUCUUUGGCAUGCAACUCUCACAGAAGCAAAGGGCUCAGAGAAAGACUGGUGACCACUGCGGAUAUGCCAGUAGCUUCAUUGGCAGGUUCUCCUCCAAACUUCCAUGGAAAGAAACACUUUCUUUCAGAUAUAGUGCUGACAGCCACUGCUCAGUCAAUGACUAUUUUGUGAAUGUAAUGGGUGAAGAUUUCAAAGAAAUCGGGUAAGAACACAUAAUCAAGAGUAUAAUGUUGUGCUUCUGCAAUAAAAGAAAUAUAUCUACUCAAACUAAUUUCAUGAUCUCUAUAAGUGGAUUAUGUCAUCACUAAUCACUAAACCAACAAAUAAUCAUCAUGAUCUCAUACAUUACCAAUAGCCCUUUACUUAUGCAGCAUAUUUUUUCCCUGCUAGGAAGGUGUACCAAGAAUACUGUGAAGCCGUGAGCAAUCUCUCCAGUGGGAUAAUGGAGCUGCUGGGAAUGAGCUUAGGAGUUGGCCAAGAGUAUUUCAGAGAAUUCUUCGAAGGAAACGAUUCAAUAAUGAGGUUGAACUACUAUCCCAGAUGCCAAAAACCAGAUUUAACACUAGGAACUGGGCCUCACUGUGAUCCCACUUCCUUAACAAUUCUUCAUCAAGAUCAAGUAGGCGGCCUUCAAGUGUUUGUAGAUGAAAAGUGGCGCUCUGUUACUCCUAAGCCUGAUGCUUUUGUUGUCAACAUUGGUGAUACAUUUAUGGUAAGUUAUUUCAUUUAUGAAUUAGGCUCAGUUUGUUUAGACAGAAAAUCUUUUUCGUUUUUCCCCCUACGAAAAGUCUACAAGACUCCAACAUGUGGGACAAAAACAGGACCUUCAGAAGACUUUCUACACAAAAUAUGAGGCAUUCUUUAUGGAUUUGAAUAUAUGCUUUCUCUGAUGUGAUUUUUCAGGCUCUAUCCAAUGGGAUUUACAAGAGCUGCUUGCAUAGAGCAGUGGUUAACAACAGAACUGUGAGGAAAUCUCUUACUUUCUUCCUUUGUCCCAAAAAGGACAGGGUGGUGACCCCACCAAGAGGUUUGGUUGAUUCCAAGAGCCCAAGGAUGUACCCGGACUUUACCUGGCCGACUUUGCUAGAGUUUACACAGAAACACUACCGGGCUGACAUGAAGACGCUGGAUGCCUUCUCAGACUGGAUUAUAAAUAAAAACAACUAACCAUGAAAGAAGCACCAGGAAAAGUAGGUGUACGUAAUGCUUUGGUGGGUGUUCAUGGGAAAAGAUGACAGAAACACCAAGAAGGGAGGAGAGGGAACUAGGCUGUUAACUAGUGUGUCAUCGUCGGAGAGAAUCAUGUCAGUUUGGAGGCAUAAAUAAGUUAAGGGGCUCCAUAUCUUCUUAAUUUUACUUUUCUGUCAAUUCAACAAUGAAUCAUUGUAAUUAUAAUAUAUACUUUGUUGACCACCAAGCUGUGUUGUUAUUGGACUUCCAUAAACUAUUCUAAUUAAUAUCUGCAUGUACAGCCGUCAACUUCCAAAGAAAUUAUGCCUCUCAGCUUGAUAUCAAAGUAAAGGAACAAAUAGAUAGUAUUAUUAAAAUCUAGAACAAUGUAUACUUUACUAUAUCUUAAUUACUAUGAGAAAUUAUAUGCAGGGUGAGGUUUUUCUCAUUUCAUCCUCACAAGUAUCGACAGUGACGUGAGUUUUAACAACUAGGGUAAUGUCCUUUGCUUAAGAUGCACAAAGUUUUAAUAUAUAAAUUGGUGUGCAUCUUUGCUUUUUACUACUUCAACAAAAAGUGAAAAAUAGUUUUUAGGUAAACAUUAAAGAAAUACUUGUAAAGAGAACAUAAGGAUUAGAAUUAGAUUCACAACCAAGCACUAUAACUAUUUUAUAUUAGGUUUUUCUAGUUUUAAUAUUAUCAGUUAUAUCUGUCUAGUUCAGCAACAUUGCAAUGGAGCUCAAAAUCAAUUCUUUGUCAAAUCAAUUGAAAGAACUACCAUUUGUUGGUAACAUGAAAGGUUACUAAAUUUUGCUAAAUCCUGAGUAUAAUCUUAUUACUAUUGCACAUGUUUACUUACCGGAAAUGGAGGAAGCCAUGAAUCAGGGAAUUUAGAUAAGAGAAUCAAGGUAUUGGAACCGGAUCAACUACUCCCCCUAGUUGAUACCAUUCCCGAUUUUGAGGGUAUUUAAUUACGAAUUUUACUGUGGAAUUCGCAUAAUAUUUUAUUCCUUGCUUGUUAGUAAACGCGGAAAAUCAGGAAUUGGAAUCAUUCCAAUAUGCAUGCGUUAGUAAACAGAGGAGAAGCAUAUAUUGGAUUCAUUCCAAUACCCAUUUCUGAUAAGUAAACAUUCCAAAGACCCUUUGUUAAAUAAAACUGUUAGAAGACUACAUAAAUGUAAUUAAGACAUAUUUUUAUUAGCCUAAUUUUAGCCAUAAUUUUUUUUAGUAAAAAGAAAACACCAACUACAAAAAAAAAAUUUAAAUAAAUAAAAUAUUUUUUAAAAAAACCAACAACAACAACAAUUGGAAAGCAAAGCAUUACCAGAACAUCCAUGGCUGAAACACCAAGAAUUGGGAAGAGCUCACCCCAUGUCAGCUGCUGAGUACCCACGAAAACCCAAGAGCUUGAAGCCUCAGACAACAACAAAGUGAAAAGGUUGAAGCAAUUCCUCAGUUGCCCAACUGAAAACCAUCAAAUUGAAGCCAAUGCGUGAAGGACCAAAGAUAGGCCAAGGCGUAGCGAAGCAGAGUGUGGAGGUCAAGCUUGUGAGCUUAAGGGCUGGAGUGGAUGUCAAACUUGAGAGAGAACGAUCGGGUUUUGUGAGGGAGAUUUUAAAAAUAAAACAAAAUGAAAAAGGCCAAUAUUUUACUUCUUACUUUUUCAAAACCAUUUUUUUAAUGUCUGCCCAAAUAUGGUUUUGAAUACCUUUUGC
RNAcentral lists this long non-coding RNA (4675 nucleotides) under Prunus persica (peach). RNAcentral describes it as "long non-coding RNA (PPER_LNC002700)". The record is from RNAcentral. Lineage: Eukaryota; Viridiplantae; Streptophyta; Magnoliopsida; Rosales; Rosaceae.